UGGCUUUGGAUCCGUUCAACUCCAGCCAUUGCCGUCAUUUGGAACCCCAGACUUCGCACAAAUCAAGCACUAGCCAUCUACGCCUAGACCCCGGACAGACUGGAGCCCACCUACCCAACACGUUGAAAAAAAGGAUGACUAUGCUAUUGCUGACCAUUCAAGGACCCAACACCACAGUGGACCAGACACCUGCCAAGGAGCUGAUCAUGCAUUGCUCAACUGUCACUUUCAGGUGCCUUCCUCAGGUCUGUUAGUUCCUGUUCCCCUGCUGUGAGAGAAAGUCCUUCUCUUUGAUCUGUUCUCUACACCUGAAGACUGGCUUGUUCAUUUCCAUAUCAACUGCUCCAGAGCUUUCUCUGCAGGACUGCAAUCAGCCCUGGCUCCACGCUGGCAAGUUUUCCAGAUCUUUCCUAUAGAUCUAAUCAGUUGUCCACCUGGUUCUGAGGAGGCGCUUUCUCCUGGAUAAGAAGUUGGCUCCGAAUUUGCGUGGCAGAACAUCUUUCCCUUAGCACCGUGUCAGUGCAGCAAAUCACUUCAAUGCUAUCUAACAAUCAAACUUUGUAUCCACAAUUUUUCAUGAACUCUAUGUGACGCAGGAUUUAUUUCCAAGCAAUAAAUCCUUCCCCUCUUUUCCUUUUA
This is a long non-coding RNA of Ochotona curzoniae (black-lipped pika), 639 nucleotides long. RefSeq lists it as uncharacterized. The record is from RefSeq and is a predicted model, not a curated record. The transcript is spliced from 3 exons. NCBI's taxonomy places the organism in Eukaryota, Metazoa, Chordata, Mammalia, Lagomorpha, Ochotonidae.